This 266-nucleotide ribosomal RNA is filed under the name uncultured bacterium. RNAcentral describes it as "partial 16S ribosomal RNA". It matches the Rfam family "Bacterial small subunit ribosomal RNA", at positions 793 to 1055 of the family's 1533-position model. The record is from RNAcentral.
GUCCACGCCGUAAACGAUGAGUGCUAGUUGUUGGGAAGUUUACUUCUCAGUGACGCAGCUAACGCGAUAAGCACUCCGCCUGGGGAGUACGGCCGCAAGGUUAAAACUCAAAGGAAUUUACGGGGGCCCGCACAAGCGGUGGAGCAUGUGGUUUAAUUCGAAGCAACGCGAAGAACCUUACCAGCUCUUGACAUGGGUAUCGCGAGAUCCAGAGAUGGAUCUCUUCAGUUCGGCUGGAUACCACACAGGUGCUGCAUGGCUGUCGU